CUUGAGAGAUACAAUAUUAAAUGGAAUUACAUCAUUAUGUACAGAGCUGGUCCCUAAUUUGUUUGUGUUGUACAUAAAUGAUGCACAAUGUGUCUAAAUGGUUAACAUUCACCUUAUUUGCUGAUGGCACUGCUUUAAAUUGCUGUAGUGCCCGGCGGUGGGUGUGGAUAAUUUUGCCGAAAAAAACGGUGGAAGUGGAGCAGCCGAAGAGUAAACUUUCAAAAAGCAGAGCGGCAGUUUGUGCUCACAGAUGGAGACGGUGUGGAGAGACGGUGGUGUUUCCUCAGAAGAACAAGCAGAGUCACCAAGGGCACGAGUCCAUCUCACCACCUUGACUUGCUGACUGAUGCUCGUCUGCACUGCACAGAGGAAAUCAACUAACCGAGGAGUGUUUCUGAGUGAGGGAGAGAGGAGUCAUCAUCCAGGUACAGUGACGUGGAUCAGUGGAUACACUUGUCUCCCCUUUAAAGGAGAUACUCUUAGAGAGAGACGAUCCGAGUCAUCCCUAAAUGUUAGUGCUUUCAAAUACACAAACAUUUUUAAAGGACAAAAACGAACAUCCAACUUUGACUGUAACACAAAAUAAAUCUUUGCAUGUGUGUU
This is a long non-coding RNA of Oreochromis aureus, 603 nucleotides long. RefSeq lists it as uncharacterized. The transcript is spliced from 3 exons. The record is from RefSeq and is a predicted model, not a curated record. Lineage: Eukaryota; Metazoa; Chordata; Actinopteri; Cichliformes; Cichlidae.